UUGUCCAGUGUCAGCGAAGUCAGAACAAAGUCGAAGCUAAAAACCUAUUCUGCUAAUUCCAGGUCAUAUUCACCAGGACGCUUUUUCUCAGGAGCCCAGUGCAAAGGGGAGACGCUAUAAAAUAUGUACCUAACAAAGCUUGUCAGCGGCUUGAAUAGAGCAAACCAGUCCAGAUCUGAGAAUCCUAGGAAAUAAAUGAAGUUGAACAUUUACUGCCAACAACCCUGUCACAGGGGCCACAGACAACUGGAGCCAUGCAGCUGGGGAGGGGAGGAGUCUGUAGCCAGAGAAGGCAGUGGAACGCACCCAGGUCGGAUUAUUUAUGGUGUGCUGAUGAAGCUGCAACUUUCCAUAUGAGGAACAGCUUAACAGGGGAACAGUCAAGCUAAACUAGGAAGUGGUCCAGUGAGAGAGAGAGAGCGAGAGAGCAACAGAAGCGGACGUGAAUAAAAAUGACAGGUAAUAAAACAAUACAAAUCGAAAAUGCUGUAACUUUCAGAAAUAAUUUAGGGCCAAAAGAGGAGGGGGAAAAAAUCUAGUUUUGCUGGCACUGGGACAAUUUUCCAAGAAGCAAAAGACGUGAAGCAAAAUGAAUGUGCUGAAUUUAAGAUCAAGUUUGUCUCCAUGCCUUUCUAGCUACAAGUUUGGUUGCUUCUAAGGCUGCUUUAUACAUAAAAAGGAAAGUGGUAAUUUUGUUAUUUAACUGAUAUAUCCUUUUUUUUUUUUUCAACAAACAUCUGCUGUGUGCCAUUCCAUGUCAGGCACUGGACACUGUAGGGCUCUGUGCUGAACCUCUGUUCACAGGUAGAGUUCCUGCCCUCAUGAGGCUUAUUAUCCAGUGCGAGAGGUGGACAAGUCCACCCUCAGCUUCUGGACAGCAAGUGCCUUGAGGUAGGACCGUCACUCGCAUUUCACAGAGGAGGGAAUGGAGCCUAGGAGAGGGAACUCUCUCAAGGCCACACACAAGACUGCCUAUGACUUUGCUGUAAGAAUAUGUGGAGAGAUACGAGCCACAGUUGGGUCCCUCCACAACCUAGGGGACUUCAGACUUUCCACGAGUGCUGGGUGGAUACACUCUGUCCCCACACCUCUGUCUCCAUACGCACUCCACACUCACUACUCUGCCUUGGCCAACGGGCCAGCAUUUUUAAAAUAUGACUUCGCAUCUGAGGAUUGAGCAGUCUAUAAAUUAUUCCAUAGUCUGAAUUCAAGUUCCACGGUUUGAAUUCAAGUAGUAUUCUUUGUAGAAGCCAUUUGGUGAUGUCUUCAAGAUAAGUCUUUCAAAAAAAACUGGGAACUGGUUUGAAUGGUAAAGAGAUUUCAUUAUUAACCCAGAGUUUUAAAACUAUCAAACAGUGGAGGUCUGAUAUUCCCUAUUCGAAACUGGGUAAAGCAUGAUAGAUAGACAAACCACAACACAGUCUAUCCCUACUCUCUUCUCAAAUUUACAAAACCAUUUGCAAAAAGACAAAGCUUUCUCUUUUUGUACUAUUUGAGGCAAAUCAUGUCUAUGAACACUGGCUUUUAAAACUGGACAUUAAAAAAAGAUUUAAGAUCCACUAGCUUGUCAAUUAGAAUUUAGUUCUCUGUUUACUUCCUUGAGCACAAAAUAUUAUGAACAUGCCUGGGCUGAGCUUCAGCAAACAGGGCUGGCCACACGUACGGUGCUUUCAUCCAAGGCUGCGAUUAUCAGUAGGAUGAGUGCUGAAAGUCCACUUUCUGAGAAAAUGAUUUUGCAGCCAGAACGGCCAGAAACUUCAAAUGACAACUUUACUGAUUCGAGGUAAUUUCCCAGGAAUUUAAGAGGCAAUCAUUUACUCUUGACUUUCAAAGAGAACCUGGGCUUGAAAGGCACAGUUUCAUCUAAAAUUGAUCAGCUAGCGACAACCCUCUGAAGUUACUUGGGAGUGAGGGAAAGCAGUUGAGACCUCUACACAUCUGGACUGAACUAUCUAGUUCACUUUCCAGGUUGUAAAUUUUCUGUCCCAAAGACUACUUGAAAAUAACUUUUUACCAAGCAAAUGGAUUUUUUAUUAGCUGAAGUACUAAAUUAAAAAAAAAUUAUUUUGAUAUGGAACACUACAGCUGUAAGACUUGCCAACAACGAAUCUUCAAGGAAAUGUGCAUUUCAGAACAUAGCAAAAUCACAAGAAACAAAAAUCUGAAUCCUGAAAACAUGGAUUUCAAAUUAUUGCAAAUGACAAUCUUAUUCAAAUUCUGCUCUAUAUCAUAUUCAAAUAAAC
Molecule: long non-coding RNA, 2243 nt
Organism: Callithrix jacchus (white-tufted-ear marmoset)
Lineage: Eukaryota; Metazoa; Chordata; Mammalia; Primates; Cebidae
Source: RefSeq, a predicted model, not a curated record